This 461-nucleotide ribosomal RNA is filed under the name uncultured bacterium. Its description in RNAcentral is "partial 16S ribosomal RNA". It matches the Rfam family "Bacterial small subunit ribosomal RNA", at positions 338 to 795 of the family's 1533-position model. The record is from RNAcentral.
GCUACGGGUGGCUGCAGUGAGGAAUAUUGGUCAAUGGGCGGAAGCCUGAACCAGCCAAGUCGCGUGAGGGAUUAAGGCCCUGCGGGUCGUAAACCUCUUUUGCCGGGGAGCAGUGGUCCGGACGCGUCCGGACCGGGAGAGUACCCGGAGAAAAAGCAUCGGCUAACUCCGUGCCAGCAGCCGCGGUAAUACGGAGGAUGCGAGCGUUAUCCGGAUUUAUUGGGUUUAAAGGGUGCGUAGGCGGGCAUUUAAGCCGGCGGUCAAAUGUCGGGGGUCAACCAUAGAAUUGCCGUUGAAACAGGGGGGCUUGAGGAUGUUUGAGGCAGGCGGAAUGCGUGGUGUAGCGGUGAAAUGCUUAGAUAUCACGCAGAACCCCGAUUGCGAAGGCAGCCUGCCAAGCCAUGACUGACGCUGAUGCACGAAAGCGUGGGGAUCAAACAGGAUUAGAUACCCUUGUAGUC